RNAcentral lists this ribosomal RNA (1492 nucleotides) under uncultured bacterium. RNAcentral's name for it is "16S ribosomal RNA". It matches the Rfam family "Bacterial small subunit ribosomal RNA". The record is from RNAcentral.
AGAGUUUGAUCCUGGCUCAGGAUGAACGCUAGCUACAGGCUUAACACAUGCAAGUCGAGGGGCAGCAUGGUCUUAGCUUGCUAAGGCCGAUGGCGACCGGCGCACGGGUGAGUAACGCGUAUCCAACCUGCCUUACACUCUUGGACAGCCUUCUGAAAGGGAGAUUAAUACAAGAUGUUAUCAUGAGUAAGCAUUUUCGCAUGAUUAAAGGUUUACCGGUGUAAGAUGGGGAUGCGUUCCAUUAGAUAGUAGGCGGGGUAACGGCCCACCUAGUCUUCGAUGGAUAGGGGUUCUGAGAGGAAGGUCCCCCACAUUGGAACUGAGACACGGUCCAAACUCCUACGGGAGGCAGCAGUGAGGAAUAUUGGUCAAUGGACGAGAGUCUGAACCAGCCAAGUAGCGUGAAGGAUGAAGGUUCUAUGGAUUGUAAACUUCUUUUAUACGGGAAUAAACGGAUCCACGUGUGGAUUUUUGCAUGUACCGUAUGAAUAAGGAUCGGCUAACUCCGUGCCAGCAGCCGCGGUAAUACGGAGGAUCCGAGCGUUAUCCGGAUUUAUUGGGUUUAAAGGGAGCGUAGAUGGGUUGUUAAGUCAGUUGUGAAAGUUUGCGGCUCAACCGUAAAAUUGCAAUUGAUACUGGCAGUCUUGAGUACAGUUGAGGUAGGCGGAAUUCGUGGUGUAGCGGUGAAAUGCUUAGAUAUCACGAAGAACUCCGAUUGCGAAGGCAGCUUACUAACCUGUAACUGACAUUGAUGCUCGAAAGUGUGGGUAUCAAACAGGAUUAGAUACCCUGGUAGUCCACACGGUAAACGAUGAAUACUCGCUGUAGGCGAUAUACAGUCUGCGGCCAAGCGAAAGCAUUAAGUAUUCCACCUGGGGAGUACGCCGGCAACGGUGAAACUCAAAGGAAUUGACGGGGGCCCGCACAAGCGGAGGAACAUGUGGUUUAAUUCGAUGAUACGCGAGGAACCUUACCCGGGCUUAAAUUGCAACCGAAUAUGGCGGAAACGCUAUAGCUAGCAAUAGCGGUUGUGAAGGUGCUGCAUGGUUGUCGUCAGCUCGUGCCGUGAGGUGUCGGCUUAAGUGCCAUAACGAGCGCAACCCUUGCCGAUAGUUACUAACAGGUUAUGCUGAGGACUCUGUCGGGACUGCCAUCGUAAGAUGUGAGGAAGGUGGGGAUGACGUCAAAUCAGCACGGCCCUUACGUCCGGGGCUACACACGUGUUACAAUGGGGGGUACAGAGGGCUGCUACCACGCAAGUGGAUGCCAAUCCCAAAAACCUCUCUCAGUUCGGAUUGAAGUCUGCAACCCGACUUCAUGAAGCUGGAUUCGCUAGUAAUCGCGCAUCAGCCACGGCGCGGUGAAUACGUUCCCGGGCCUUGUACACACCGCCCGUCAAGCCAUGGGAGCCGGGGGUACCUGAAGUGCGUAACCGCAAGGAGCGCCCUAGGGUAAAACUGGUGACUGGGGCUAAGUCGUAACAAGGUAGCCG